This 465-nucleotide ribosomal RNA is filed under the name uncultured bacterium. RNAcentral describes it as "partial 16S ribosomal RNA". It matches the Rfam family "Bacterial small subunit ribosomal RNA", at positions 338 to 795 of the family's 1533-position model. The record is from RNAcentral.
CCUACGGGAUGCAGCAGUGGGGAAUAUUGCGCAAUGGGCGAAAGCCUGACGCAGCGACGCCGCGUGAGGGAUGAAGGUCUUCGGAUCGUAAACCUCUGUCAGCAGGGAAGAACGGUCACUGUGCUAAUCAGCAGUGAAUUGACGGUACCUGCCAAGGAAGCACCGGCUAACUCCGUGCCAGCAGCCGCGGUAAUCCGGAGGGUGCGAGCGUUAACCGGAACUUCUGGGAUUACAACGCUCGUAGGCGGGAUGUCAAGUAAAGGGUGAAAUCCCCUGGCUCAACGUGGGAACUGCCUUUGAAACUGGCAAACUGGAGUGUGUUAGAGGAUAGUGGAAGUCCAGGUGUAGGAGUGAAAUCCGUAGAUAUCUGGAGGAACAUCAGUGGCGAAGGCGACUAUCUGGCACAUAACUGACGCUGAGGAGCGAAAGCGUGGGUAGCAAACAGGAUUAGAUACCCGAGUAGUC